ACGGCAGCGCGGGGCAACCUGGCGGCGAGUGGCGAACGGGUGAGUAAUAUAUCGGAACGUACCCUGGAGUGGGGGAUAACGUAGCGAAAGUUACGCUAAUACCGCAUACGAUCUAAGGAUGAAAGUGGGGGAUCGCAAGACCUCAUGCUCCUGGAGCGGCCGAUAUCUGAUUAGCUAGUUGGUGGGGUAAAGGCCUACCAAGGCAUCGAUCAGUAGCUGGUCUGAGAGGACGACCAGCCACACUGGAACUGAGACACGGUCCAGACUCCUACGGGAGGCAGCAGUGGGGAAUUUUGGACAAUGGGCGCAAGCCUGAUCCAGCAAUGCCGCGUGAGUGAAGAAGGCCUUCGGGUUGUAAAGCUCUUUUGUCAGGGAAGAAACGGUGAGGGCUAAUAUCCCUUGCUAAUGACGGUACUUGAAGAAUAAGCACCGGCUAACUACGUGCCAGCAGCCCGGGUAAUAC
This 463-nucleotide ribosomal RNA is filed under the name Duganella zoogloeoides. RNAcentral describes it as "bacterial SSU rRNA". It matches the Rfam family "Bacterial small subunit ribosomal RNA", at positions 66 to 526 of the family's 1533-position model. The record is from RNAcentral. Lineage: Bacteria; Pseudomonadati; Pseudomonadota; Betaproteobacteria; Burkholderiales; Oxalobacteraceae.